This 700-nucleotide ribosomal RNA is filed under the name uncultured Staphylococcus sp. RNAcentral's name for it is "bacterial SSU rRNA". It matches the Rfam family "Bacterial small subunit ribosomal RNA", at positions 63 to 745 of the family's 1533-position model. The record is from RNAcentral. Lineage: Bacteria; Bacillati; Bacillota; Bacilli; Caryophanales; Staphylococcaceae.
CGAGCGAACGGACGAGAAGCUUGCUUCUAUGAUGUUAGCGGCGGACGGGUGAGCAACACGUGGAUAACCUACCUAUAAGACUGGGAUAACUUCGGGAAACCGGAGCUAAUACCGGAUAAUAUUUUGAACCGCAUGGUUCAAAAGUGAAAGACGGUCUUGCUGUAACUUAUAGAUGGAUCCGCGCUGCAUUAGCUAGUUGGUAAGGUAACGGCUUACCAAGGCAACGAUGCAUAGCCGACCUGAGAGGGUGAUCGGCCACACUGGAACUGAGACACGGUCCAGACUCCUACGGGAGGCAGCAGUAGGGAAUCUUCCGCAAUGGGCGAAAGCCUGACGGAGCAACGCCGCGUGAGUGAUGAAGGUCUUCGGAUCGUAAAACUCUGUUAUUAGGGAAGAACAUAUGUGUAAGUAACUGUGCACAUCUUGACGGUACCUAAUCAGGAAGCCACGGCUAACUACGUGCCAGCAGCCGCGGUAAUACGUAGGUGGCAAGCGUUAUCCGGAAUUAUUGGGCGUAAAGCGCGCGUAGGCGGUUUUUUAAGUCUGAUGUGAAAGCCCACGGCUCAACCGUGGAGGGUCAUUGGAAACUGGAAAACUUGAGUGCAGAAGAGGAAAGUGGAAUUCCAUGUGUAGCGGUGAAAUGCGCAGAGAUAUGGAGGAACACCAGUGGCGAAGGCGACUUUCUGGUCUGUAACUGACG